CUUCAGGCUCCAGGGAAGACCUUCCUUUGGCUGUGGUCAUCUCUGAUCAUCUCCAGGUUUCACAGUCUGACGCCUCAGGUGGGUGCCUGCACACACUCGUUUUGCACGUCCAUUGUAAACUGUUUUGACUGCUCUGCUCCCUAUUUUACACAUAUUUCGGACUGGAGCCCCGCAUCACUGUAGGCUUGGAUACUAUUUUCAAUGUGAAUUCACCUUCAUUCUUAAGAGAAAUAGUCAGACUUUCCCUAAAGCUAACCCCUAAAGCAAUGACCUCUAACCUGGAUCCCAGUCACCUGGAGGGAGUGUGGGGCCCUAGGAAAUGCAAAUGCCAGGUGUGCUCCCCGGAUAUUCGAUUUGAUGGAUCUAGGGUGGGGAAGGCGGGUGUUUCAAACCUCUUCAGGGGAAAGCCGCCGUCCUAGGGGAUCACAGGACGCCCGACCUGGGAGCAGCUGGCCUCUCACGUCCCGUUAGUCAGUGACAGUGUCACAUGUCCGUGAUUAGCGCUGUGCUGUAAGUCAUUGGUUUUCAAGCCAGCAAGCCUCAGGGCCACGCAGAGGGCAAAACGUCAGUUGGGUAGGUGGGUAGGGGGGUGGCCUGAGGAUUGGCAUCUAAGCAGCCCCCUAGAAACUCGAGCGUCAUUUAAGGGACUGAGCGUGGCGUUCCGUCCUCGGGACUCGCAGGGACUCUGGAAGGUUGCCAAGCCCCUGCGGCCCCGGGUGAGUGGAUCUCCUGCUGUCUGAAGCUGGAGCGCAGCUCCCGGGCCAGCGGUCAGCGACCUUCCACCCUCGCCGUCCUGACCGCCCACGCGGACCGCGCUGGAAGCAGGUCGCCGCCGACCCCAAGGUGUUUAGGAGCCUGCGGCGGUGGGCGCUGGUGGCGGGCGCCCCCUGCCCGGGCUCAGGAUGCACAGAACUGCCCUCCGUUUCUGCGGCGUCGGGUUUGCAUUUUAAACUUUUAAACGUCCACACCCGGAAGCGCGGGAUCCGCGGCCGCACUCUCAGCCGGAGAAGCAGCGUGGUCCUGUGACCCUCGCCCGGCGGGCACCGCGGGGGCGGCGAGCCGCGCUUCCACCUGCGGCGGUACCGGGCGGCACCGGGGCGAUUCGGCAGCGCCGGCCCGGUUCAGGUCGGUCUGGGAAAUAGCGGUUUUGCUUUUAAUGGAAGCAUUACAGAAUUUUAAGAAAAGGAGGAAAGGUGAGUUUUCGGAUUGAGUACGUUUCAGCCGAGACAGAAGUAAGUCGCGAGAAGCCGCUGCAGCAGCGUCAGGAUGGCCGAGCGGUCUAAGGCGCUGCGUUCAGGUCGCAGUCUCCCCUGGAGGCGUGGGUUCGAAUCCCACUCCUGACAACUGCUUUUUACCUACUUGCUCUACUUAAAUAAAAGAAUUACAAUCUUUUCCCCCGUCUGUUUCUUUGUUUUUAACUAUUCAAGCUCUGGAAUUAAAGUACCCUGAGCUUGGAAGAGAGCUCGACAACUAGUUUUAAUCUCAUCUUUGUUCCCCUUAGUCUCUCCUCUUCAGUUCCAGGCCUGUAACCAUCACUGCGGUCCUGGGGCCCUUUUGCUUUAUUUACAGCUUCCUCUCUGGGUCUCACCCCCCACCCACCCCACUUCCCCAGGCCGAUGAGUGAUCACUGGAAAAGCCAUCACUUUCCUUCCAAAGCUUUUGCAGAAGAUGUAUUAAUUGGUUUGGAUACGAGCACUUUUUUUUUAUUUCUUAUAAUGAACAUUUAUUUGACCAACUACUUAUAGACUCUAAAAUCAAACAAUUUGUUACUUAAAGAACAGAAAGAAUAAUCCCCCCCCAUCAAAGCCUACUCCAUAACUGAAGUACCCGAAACCUAUGAACCAUGUUGCUAAAAGAAAGGGGGGAAAGAGAUGUUUACUAAACUUCACAGGAAGAAUCAAUAAAUCUGGCAAUGGUUGAGUACACAUCAGACCACACUCAAGAGUACUAACCAGUCUCAAAUAUUAACUGAAAAUUUAAACUUAAUAUGCAUUUCCCUCUUAGAAAGGCUCAGAAAAUUAUUAUCUAUUAACUAUGCAAUGAUGCUAGUUACAUUAUGUAAAAUGAUAUAAUGAAGAAAAAAUAGUAGACAAUUUGAAUUUCCUAACCAAUAAGUAAAUUACUAGCUGUAAACAAGAACUUUUAAAAGUCAUUCUUUAGCUUUCAUUUACAACAUUUAGGACUGGAAUCUUCAGAAUUUUCUAGUAUCUUGAACAUCCCUGUCUUCUCUUUAAUCGGUCCUGAGGCCUUCAUUUGAUUAAUGAGAUCACUUGGAUCUAACAACAACUCAAGAUCUUUAUCACUAAUGAUCUUUUCUCUUGAUCCUUUGACUUCCCUUUCAUAAUCUCUAGAUUUUAAUAACUCCUUUAAUUCCUUGGGAUCUAAGAAGUUCUUAGAUUGAUUUAAUUCAGAUUGACUACCUUUGAAAUGUUUUUUGUGAAUGAUCAACUUUUCCAGUUUUCUUUUAGCAGCUGCUCUUUCCACAAUUUUCUGAUCAAUAGUAUUUGCUGUAAAAAGCGAUAUGCAACAACUGGCUUUGUCUAACCAAUUCUAUGACAUCAAUCCUGGGCCUGAAGAUCAGACUGGGGUUUCCAAUCACUAUCAUAAAUGAUAACUGUACCUGCUGCAGUCAGAUUAAUGUCCAGGCCACCAGCUGGUGUACCCACCAAGAAGCUAACCACAUCUGGAUCUGUGUUGAAAUUGUGCAAAUUUCCCCCUCUCUCAGAAUAAGACAUGGACCCAUCAACCUGCUAAAGUUGAAAUUUCUAAGUUGGCAGUAAUCCAUCCAAAUGUCCAACAUUCUUGUCAUUUGUGAAUAAAGCAGCACCUUGUGACUUUUUUUUUUUUUUUUAGUUCUGGCACAUUCUAUUCAUCAUUAAGAAUUUCCCAGAAUUUGUUACUAAUUCUUCAUCAAUCUUAAACUCUUGUGUAACAGGAUCUAUAGGAUAUUCAGUCAGAUAUGGAUGAUUACUAUAUUCUGCAGCUUCAGAUUAACUUUAGAUUCUAUAGGGAUAUUCACUUCCACCACGCUUCUUUCUCUGUCCACCUCUGGCUGCAUUUGACUGAUCAGUUUUUCCAAUUCAUUAGGAAAAUUAUCUAUUGUGCUGUAAUUUAUUGAUUUUCUAAUUUGCCAUUUGGGUCAUCUAGUAGGACUUAGCUCAACUGUUUCUUUCUCACUGGCUCCAAACAUAUUCGCAAUUGUGCGAUUCACCAUUGCUGUGUAAAAGACUUCUUGUUUCUUCAAAAGCGGUGCAUAAACAAUUACUUCUUGUUUAAGAGGAACUUCAAGAGCAACAUCAAAUUUUAGUCUUAAUAAGAAAGGGGUGAGAAUCUGGUGCAGCAUAGGCAAUACAUUCUGUUCUCUUUCUUUGGCUGUAAUGUCUUCAGCAGUUUCAGAAAGAUUAGUGAUGUCAAACGAAGACUCAAAGCUUGUCAAGCCAUCAAAUACAUCUGGCAACAAAAAGUUUAGCAAUGACCAAACUUCUGCAAUCGGAGAGCCAGAUUAGAGGAUACAUGCAUUUUUAAUUUUCAUAAUUUGUUAGAGUCUGUAAACAAGUCAAAAUAACACCAGGCAUUUUGCCAGGGGAAUGUUAGAGUUGGUAAACAAGUCUGGAUGGUGCCUGGCAAAAUGCCAGAGGGAGUGGUUUGAGAAGUAACAAAAGCGAGCCAUUAAGUGUGGAGAUUUCUUAUUGGUUGACUGAUGUAUCUAGUUUAUGCUAAUUAGAUAAGCUGUGUGGAAUGUAUAAAUACUGCUCCUGUCCUGCAAUAAACGGCUCCCUCUCCUGCUGUAUCAACGUGCACAAGUUGUUCGUCACCCCCUGGUUAUUUUGCUGCAGCCAGCCGGACUGCAGCAAUAAUUCACAAUGUAUUAUAGAUGUCAUUCUAUUUUACUUCAUUCCUUUGGCGCCGUGAUUUUGAACCAUGUCCUGUGCACAUCUAGCCCAAGUCCAGACAAGUGCUUUUAAUUGAUGCAUAGAGGUCAGCUGUGAGUUGGCCUGCCCCCCGGGGAUGGCUCACAGGUUGGGUCUCAGGUGUAGCCACUAUAGAGCACAUCUUCCUACGUAUUCCAUUACCAAGCUGUGCAAGAAUUUGAGAUAUGGCAGGAACAAAUUGCAAGUCAAAAGAGUUUGACAAUCCACUAAUUUUACACCAAUUUCAGAAUAUGGCCAAGAGCCAUGAGUGAAAAGCCCAUAAGCCAAAAAGGAGAUAAAAGCUUGGAGGGGCGCAUUAUUUGCAGCAAGUAAGUAGAGGGUUCGAGAUAAUUUGCAAAGUAGUGCUUUCUCCGCACAAAGAAAGUGAGGGACUUUCAUUGGGGAAACCUCUAGAUAUUCAUAUAGGUAAGAUUCCUCGUCUCAUAUAGAGGUUUGCCUCACAAAAAGGUGGGCAAACUCAGUUCAAGAUCGUAAGCCCACAUGAAAGAAGGGGAGGGGGAACAUUCCUGAGCAUAGAGUUUAGUCCUCAUGAGUUUCUCCAAGGAGCCUUAUCUGAAACAAAAAGAAAAACAACUUUGUAGCAGGAUUUCUAACCGUCUAUUAAAGGGAGAGCAGCUUUCUGCCAAAUAAGUAUAUAGGAUCCUGCCCCUGGAAGUAUGUGCCUUUUCUGAUAGCUAUCAGGAACAGGAGCCAAGGGGCAUGCUUUAAAUAUGCAGCUCAUAUUUAGUGAAGUCUCCAGAAAUAUCCCCCAAAUUCAAAUUUCUGACAUCCAACUUGCUCAUCUUGAACAUUAAUAGCUACAAUUACAAACAUGCAUAUUCAUUGUUCCUAUUUUGAACUUAUUGCAAAGCCCCAAUUAAUCAAAAACCUCAAGGGACUGGAAUUUCUCUUCACUCUUCCCUUUUCCAAAGGAAAUUUAACCAGGAGGCCAAAGCAGGAGGAUUGCAAAUUUGAAAGCAGCCUCAGCAUCCUAGCAGGUCCUAAGCAAGUUAGUGAGACCCUAUCUAAAAAUAAAAAGGGCUGUGGAUGUAGGAUGUAACUCAAUGGCAGAGCACCCCUGGGUUCAAUCCUCAACACCAAAAAAAAAAAGAAAAAAAGAAAAAGAAAAAGAAAGAAAGAAAAGAAAAUUUAAUCUACUACCAGGUUUCAUAGGCUAAAUAUAUGGUGAAUCUGUUUUAUGAUCAUUAAUAUUCAAAAUUGGCCUGUCCUCUCCUUUUUUUUUCUGGAAUUCCUCAAAAUUCAGAUCCAUACACUGAAAGAAAAGUGAAUUGGUAUGUUUUAGAUUGUCAUCAACCAGACAGGAAAAGAACAAAGGAAUGGAGAUUUCCCCUUGUCACCUGACUGGACACCAGUCACUCCAUUUCUGCCCACACCAACAUUCUGGUUGAACGAAUGGGAUUCUGAGUCUCCACUUUGGCCUUGUCAACAUAAGAGAAAGGAGGAAAUGAACCCCCAGGGUGAUACCGAGAAGCACUUAGAGGAUGAGGGCAGCCCCUGGGUCCAAUCCAAUUCAGGCUGCUGGGCUCAGCCAGAGGCUCUGCCACUUCACAGUCUCCCAGGCAAGUGACUCUUCACCCUUGUGUUAGGUGCCCUCCUCUUUAACAUGGAGAACAUAAUUGAACCUUGCCUCAUAAAUGUGCUGUGAGGAUUGCCUGACUUAGUACAUGUAAAGUGCUUGUACAAAUGCCAGCCAAAUAUAAAUGCCUGAGAAACGGUAAUUUUAUUUUGUCAUAAAUGAAGUACUCUUUUGUAUUAGAACCUGCCAAAGAAACAGAACCAAUAUCUAUCAUCUGUUGAGAGACGGAGAUGGGGAGAGAUGUCCUAUAAAGAACUGGUUCUCACGGGUAUGGGGGAGUGAGAAGGUCCAGGAUUUGCCCUCUGCAAGCUGGGACUAAGAAGGCAGGUGACAUAGCUGAGUUCCUGUGGGAAGGCCUGAGAACCGGGGAAGAGAGGCAGGAAGGGAUGGAGACGAGGUGGGUGAGGGCAUAGAGAGGGGCAGGCUUUUAUUCUAUUCAGGCUCCCCAGAGACUGGAUGAAGCCCGGAACAGCAACAGCGGGGGUUGGGGGAGGGCGAUCUAGUUUAUUGAGGCCACUGAUUCAAAUGCUAAUCCCAUCUGGAAAACCCUCACAGAUAAACCCUGAAACAAUGUUUAAUCUGGGGACCCUGGUACCCUUCAACAUGGCGUGGAAUUAAACCUCACACUGCUGUUGGCCAGGCCUGUACACAGCACAGGAACAGCCCCGAGGAGGAGACCAGCUGACACAGUGGCAGAUGCAGAGCAAAGAGAUGAAAGUUGCUGCCCAGGACAGGGUAGGGCACGGGGUCCCUUCUAGCUCCAUCUGCCAUAGCAGAACCUCAGCAGCCCAGCUCAGGGCCCUGUCAACCACAAGUUGUAAAUUCAGAUGCCAUCUGCAGUGCUCUGGUAAUGCAUGGUCUUUUUAAAGGAAAGCAUGAAACACUUGGCACUUACCAACUGUCAAAUCUAUCUGACUGCAGGUGAGGAUGCCUAAGGGCCUGUGGUCAUCUCCAGACAAUGAAAAGUUGGGAGACUUGAGCACAUCCCUUCCUAACGACCUCCACUCACCUGAACUGGGCAUCCACUUAGCUGUACUCCGUGGCUUCUUGCCACAGCAUCUAUUCCACCCCUCCACAGCCUACUUUCUUGCCCUGCUAAGUUCUGCAUCUCUUUCAUGGCUCAGUUUGGUUGUAUUUUCUUCCAUGAAGUCUUCCCCACCUCCUUCCACCUCUAUCCCAUUUAUAUUAAGUGUCCAAAUGCAGUUUAUGCAUUUGGAAAGUCCCUGUACUCUGAGUGGCAUCAUAUCCCACUCUCCUACAAUCAACAUUGAGUUCUCUGAUCCCCACACCAGCCUCCUUAGGACAGAACUCAUAACCCAUGUGUGAGGAACAUGGUGCCCGUCCCUUAACAGGCCCUCAACAAGUAGCAGCUGAGUGGAUAAACAGGCAUCUGAUUGCAAACCCUCGACACUUCUGCACACGAAUCGCUUUCAUGGUUUAUCAAUGUUUGAAGAGUCAGGAAGACUUAUGGGCUUUUGGGAAAGAGAGUAAGACACCUCAACUGGAAUAUUCUGUAACUUCUGUAGCCAGUACCACUACCUCAAUGACAGAGACUGUUAGAGUCUGUAAACAAGUCAGGAUGGCGCCUGGCAUUUUGCCAGAGGGAGUGGUUUGUGAAGUAAGGCCAGGGAGCCAUUAAGUGUGGAGAUUCCUUAUUGGUUGACUGAUGUAUCUAGUUUAUGCUAAUUAAGAUAAGCUGUGCAAAAUGUAUAAAUACCUCUGUUGUCCUACAAUAAAUGGCUUCCACUCCUGCUGUAUCAAUGUACACAAGUUGCUUGUCACCCCCCCCACACACACUAUUUUGCUGCAGCCGGACUGCUGCAAGAGACCGUGCAAUCUGUUGAGAGAAACUUGUCUGGAAGCAUCCCUAUACAGACCCUGGAGCCUAGAGCCUGUCAGAGAUAAACAGGAAUAAUGAGAACUUCCAAUAAAGGAGCAAAGAACUUGUUUGGGAACAAAGAAUAAGAUGCACCCAGGACACAUAAUCAGACCAGCAUGGCCUCUGGUAUGCAUGGAGAACAAGGGAAAGGUCAGAGAUUUUAUUGGAACAGAGAAAUCUAUACAGAUGUUUAUAAAAGAAAGUUCAUUGGCACUUUGGGUACUUGAGGGAGCCAAUGAACUCUGAUUGGCAUGUAGCAGCAGCUACUAAGUGAAGCCAGUCUUAAAGUCAUACUAGGUAGUUUUCUUGACAGUUGCUAAGAAGAAGAAUAUAGUGUUAAGGAUAAGGCAAGCUGUUUGGCUAUAUUGGCCCAGCAGAGCAGUUCCUGAACAAUCUUUUACUACCUGAUAGUUUCUCCAAUGGUCUCUGAGCUCUCUUUUUGAUGGGUAUGACAAGAAAUUUAUUUCCACAAGCCCGAAGUAUCAGGGGGUGGAACAAAGGCGGGCUUGGUGACAAGGCAAAGCCAUGGUGUAGUUUGAUAUCUGCAUCAGUGACCUGUGUCCUUAUUUGAGGGGGGUCUGAGGCCUGAGUCUGGAAUAAAGGAUUUCAUAAGCAGAAGAAAGACUUAGUGAAAAAGAGAUUCUGGGGCUGUAUCUCAGUGGCGAAGUGCUCGCCAGGCACUGAGUUUGAUCCCUUAGCACCACAUAAAAAUAAACAUGCUUUCCAUUAAAAAAAGAGAGUCUGGGGGCUGGGAUGUGGCUCAAGCGGUAGCGCGCUCCCCUGGCAUGCGUGCGGCCCGGGUUAGAUGUGUCUGCCGAAAAUUAAAAAAUAAGUAUUAAAAAAUUCUCUCUCUCUACCUCUCUCUCCUCCCUCUCUCUUUAAAAAAAAGAGUCUGCCUUUCCACUGUGGCCUGAUGCUUACAAGGAAAAGUGGAAAUUAAGCUGCAGGGUGGGAGCAGAAAUUCUCCCCAAAAGUAAAGUUGCUUCCUGAAUUAUUCCUAAAGCCUUGAGACACUUUGUUUCCACAGAUUGGACAGGCGAUUAUAUCUCAAUCCUUGAUAAUCCACAUAAAAAACGUGCUCUGAAGGCAAAAGCCAGGGUAGUGCAACUUCCUUUGCCAGGUGUUGGGGGCUGGCCCUUGGCAGAGGAGCAGAGGGCUGCCCACUUUCUCAGUGAACUUCCAUUUCUGUCGUGUGCUUCUUGUGAAGAGUCACUGUUAAGAGUCAAACCGACUUCUUUUCCUCUCUCUCUCUCUCUCUCUCUCUCUCAUCUGGAGGAGGGGCCUCCGUACUAGGCCUCCUUCGUAUCUGCCCCCUCUGGGGGGUGUGUGUGGCUCUGUGAUAGACAAUCAAGUGGAUGCUUCUCUAAAGUCACAGUGACAAGUAUUCGUUUUCGCUUUGAUUUUUCCUAUUCAGGAAAUUCAGGACACAGUACAACCUUCCAAAAUGAGUACUCUCAGCGUGUUUCGGGCUGCUAUGGGUUGUCACAGCUGCAGCGACCUCAGCAGUAGACAUACCGGUCAUUGCAAAGGUUGACUUUUCUAAAUAACAUUUUUUUGCAGAUGAUGAGUGCCCCAGUCUGGGAAUUCCCCAGGAAUGCAACUAGAAUAAUCAGAGGUUACCAUGUCGCUCGUAGAUUAAAUUUGGCGGCUUUCCUUUCUGCUUUCCCUGCUUCCUUUUGUAUUUGCUAAAUAGAAAUCAUAUGUGGAAUAAAAGUGUUGUAAAGCCCAGAAACGCAGAAAAUGGUUCUAAAACAACAACAAAUUCACUUUGCCUCUUUUCUUUUGGUAAAAACUAGAGACCAUCCCCAGAUCCACACAAAACACUUGGGUGGGUGGGAAACGAGGUGCAGGAACUUACAGCAGGUCCAUCGCCCUGGUUUCUGAAGGCGAGAACAGCGCAAAAGGAGAGGCCCCGCUGGGAUUCGAACCCAGGAUCUCCUGUUUACUAGACAGGCGCUUUAACCAGCUAAGCCACGGAGCCAGCACGCCCUCCGCGGUCCAGAUUGGGAGGGAAAAGGGAGGCUCUCGCUCCUGCAGCGUUUCCCGCUUCCUAGGUCCCGGAGCCGCCCGGACCCGCUGGACCCAGCGUGGACCUGGCCUCCGCCGCCACCGGGGCGCGGCCUUCGUCCCUGGGCUGAAGACCCUGCCUCCCCUCGCGCCCUCCGCGAGGUCAGGAGCCGGCUAGGUCCACUCACCCAGCGCCGAGCCGGCAACUGACCCGACCCGGCGGGAGCUGAGGACCCGCGACGACUCCGCGCGGCCCUGGUCGUGGGCGCUGAGCGCUGCUGCCCGCCCGCGUCCUCCCGGCUCUCGGUCCACGGAAGGCCUCCCGGGCGUCCAGCUCGGGCCGCUCCGCGAGGCGCCCACAGCUCGGCCCUCGCCGCGGCCCCGGGGUGGCUUCCCGAGGGGAGGCCGCGCUCGGCCGGCGGUGAGUGGGAGCGGACGCUGGGCGCGUCGUCCACGCCCGAGGCCCCCGGCCCUUCCCCAGAUUCCUUGUCUUCACGGAAGGACUGAGGGUCCACCGACAGCAUGGAAGGACUGAGGGUCCACCGACUUCACGGAAGGACUGAGGGUCCACCGACAGCAUGGAAGGACUGAGGGUCCACCGACAGCAUGGAAGGACUGAGGGUCCACCGACUUCAUCGAAGGAUGAAGGUCCACCAACUUCACGGAAGCACUGAGGGUCCACCGACAGCAUGGAAGGACUGAGGGUCCACCGACUUCACGGAAGGACUGAGGGUCCACCGACUUCACGGAAGGACUGAGGGUCCACCGACAGCAUGGAAGGACUGAGGGUCCACCGACUUCACGGAAGGACUGAGGGUCCACCGACUUCACGGAAGGACUGAGGGUCCACUGACUUCACGGAAGGACUGAGGGUCCACCGACACCUUGGAUGGCCGAGGGUCCACUAACAGCAUGGUGAAGAGAGGCGCACCUAGGUGUUUAGCAGUCUAUGAUGACCAUCGGACAUUAGGGGGCUUGCAUCGUAUUUGGUCAGGAACAGGGCGAUGACAGCACAGCCACACCUUUGACCAGCCGUGGCAGGCCACCAGACAGCACCGGCAAAUAGAAUGUGGUUUGGGUUUUCCUCUGACCGACAGCUGAAGACUUUAAGGAACCAAAUUAAGUUGUUUAAACUCCAGAGCUAAGUCUUGGAAGAAAACUGAGUCCGAGUGAUCCUUUUACAAAAAUCUGGAUGUGAGCCCGACCUUCCAUUCAGGUUCCACUGACCAGGAAGGACCAUGAAAACCUCACAUAGGCUCUGCUCCACACAUGACACUGGAUAGGUGCAGGCCCUGUGUCACAGGUUGCGCACAGUGAGGUCAAGAAACAGCAGGGGCAAACAGUGCUGCCUGUUGGACACCUGGGAGCAAAUCACAAAUAACAGGACAGGGAGCAUAGAGGAGAGUCCACCACUGUGCUAGUUUAUGUGUCAACUUGAUUAGGCCAUAAACACUGAUCCAGAUGUUUCUCUGAAGGUGUUUUGUAAAUGUGGUUAACAAUUACAAUCAAGUACCUUAAAUAAAGGGGAUUAUUCUCAGUAAUGUAGGUAGGCCUCACCUAUUUAGUUGAAAGACUUUAAGAACAAAGUAGGCUUUUCUGAGGAAAAAGAAAUUCUGUUUCAAGGCUACAGCAUCAGCUUCUGUCUGGGUGUUUCCAGCCUGUUGACCUUCUGUGUGUCAGACUGGCGGAGCAUGUAAGCCAAUUCCUACCAAUAUGCGUGUAUGUACUUAAUACAGUAUAUGUGUUCAUGGAUUUAAUCUCCUACUGGUUCUGUUUUCUUCCAGACUGUUUUUCUGACUUACACAAUCACUAAAGAAAAGACUGAAAGUCUGAAAUUUGGAGUUGGAACUGUCAAAAAAGAAUACGCUGGAGAAGAACAAGGUGAAACCAUACCUUGCUGUGGACCUGGCUGGGAAAUUUGAGAAAGACCCUCAAAAUCUGCAAAACAAAAGGAGGUUUCCAUGGACAAACACUGAGAAAAGUGUGGACAGAACCUCCAGCCAGCUGGAGUAAGGCCAUUUUGGAGAUACAGGAUGGGACCUCUGACUUUCAGAGAUGUCCUGGACCCUGCCUCCCAUGCUAGGUCCGUAAGGAGGUAAAAGAGGACCCUGGGCAACCAGUUUGCUGUGUUUGGAGCACUGUUUCUCCAUGUUCCCAAGUCCCUUUUCAGAAUAAAAAUCUCUUGAUUUUAAAGGGGAGACCACUGUGAAGUUGGAUAAGAA
Molecule: long non-coding RNA, 11616 nt
Filed under: Marmota monax (woodchuck)
Lineage: Eukaryota; Metazoa; Chordata; Mammalia; Rodentia; Sciuridae
Rfam family: tRNA (bases 1261-1343)
Source: RNAcentral